GAUGAACGCUGGCGGCGUGCCUAAUACAUGCAAGUCGAGCGAACUGAUUAGAAGCUUGCUUCUAUGACGCUAGCGGCGGCCGGGUGAGUAACACGUGGGCAACCUGCCUGUAAGACUGGGAUAACUUCGGGAAACCGAAGCUAAUACCGGAUAGGAUCUUCUCCUUCAUGGGAGAUGAUUGAAAGAUGGUUUCGGCUAUCACUUACAGAUGGGCCCGCGGUGCAUUAGCUAGUUGGUGAGGUAACGGCUCACCAAGGCAACGAUGCAUAGCCGCCCUGAGAGGGUGAUCGGCCAGACUGGGACUGAGACACGGCCCAGACUCCUACGGGAGGCAGCAGUAGGGAAUCUUCCGCAAUGGACGAAAGUCUGACGGAGCAACGCCGCGUGAGUGAUGAAGGCUUUCGGGUCGUAAAACUCUGUUGUUAGGGAAGAACAAGUACGAGAGUAACUGCUCGUACCUUGACGGUACCUAACCAGAAAGCCACGGCUAACUACGUGCCAGCCGCCGCAGUAA
This 514-nucleotide ribosomal RNA is filed under the name uncultured bacterium. Its description in RNAcentral is "partial 16S ribosomal RNA". It matches the Rfam family "Bacterial small subunit ribosomal RNA", at positions 28 to 523 of the family's 1533-position model. The record is from RNAcentral.